This 30-nucleotide non-coding RNA is filed under the name Rattus norvegicus (Norway rat). The record is from RNAcentral. Lineage: Eukaryota; Metazoa; Chordata; Mammalia; Rodentia; Muridae.
UCCACUCUUGCAGCAUGUGCCUUGUCUCAU